This 467-nucleotide ribosomal RNA is filed under the name uncultured bacterium. RNAcentral's name for it is "bacterial SSU rRNA". It matches the Rfam family "Bacterial small subunit ribosomal RNA", at positions 328 to 793 of the family's 1533-position model. The record is from RNAcentral.
UGUCCAGACUCCUACGGGAGGCAGCAGUGAGGAAUAUUGGUCAAUGGGCGAGAGCCUGAACCAGCCAAGUCGCGUGAGGGAUGACUGCCCUAUGGGUUGUAAACCUCUUUUGUAUGGGGGGAAUAAGCUUUACGAGUAGAGUGAUGACAGUACCAUACGAAUAAGCAUCGGCUAACUCCGUGCCAGCAGCCGCGGUAAUACGGAGGAUGCGAGCGUUAUCCGGAUUUAUUGGGUUUAAAGGGUGCGUAGGCGGACAGUCAAGUCAGCGGUAAAAAUGCGGUGCUCAACGCCGUACAGCCAUUGAAACUGGCAGUCUUGAGUGGGCGAGAAGUAUGCGGAAUGCGUGGUGUAGCGGUGAAAUGCAUAGAUAUCACGCAGAACUCCGAUUGCGAAGGCAGCAUACCGGCGCCCUACUGACGCUGAGGCACGAAAGCGUGGGUAUCGAACAGGAUUAGAUACCCUAGUAC